RNAcentral lists this ribosomal RNA (253 nucleotides) under uncultured bacterium. RNAcentral's name for it is "partial 16S ribosomal RNA". It matches the Rfam family "Bacterial small subunit ribosomal RNA", at positions 524 to 776 of the family's 1533-position model. The record is from RNAcentral.
UACGUAGGGAGCAAGCGUUGUCCGGAAUUCCUGGGCGUAAAGCGUGCGCAGGCGGUUUGCUAAGACAGGUGUGAAAUCCCCGGGCUUAACCUGGGAACUGCGCUUGUUACUGGCAAGCUGGAGUGUGGCAGAGGGGGGUGGAAUUCCACGUGUAGCAGUGAAAUGCGUAGAGAUGUGGAGGAACACCGAUGGCGAAGGCAGCCCCCUGGGCUAACACUGACGCUCAUGCACGAAAGCGUGGGGAGCAAACAGG